CGGGAGCCUAUGAAGGUUAAC
Molecule: microRNA, 21 nt
Filed under: Glycine max (soybean)
Lineage: Eukaryota; Viridiplantae; Streptophyta; Magnoliopsida; Fabales; Fabaceae
Description: gma-miR5037d
Source: miRBase by way of RNAcentral